Molecule: ribosomal RNA, 274 nt
Filed under: uncultured bacterium
Lineage: Bacteria
Description: partial 16S ribosomal RNA
Rfam family: Bacterial small subunit ribosomal RNA
Source: RNAcentral
AUACGGAGGUUGCAAGCGUUAUUCGGAAUCACUGGGCGUAAAGGACGCGUAGGCGGGUUGGCAAGUCAGAUGUGAAAUCCUACAGCUUAACUGUAGAACUGCAUUUGAAACUGCUAACCUAGAGUAUGGGAGGGGGAGAUGGAAUUAGUGGUGUAGGGGUAAAAGCCGUAGAUAUCACUAGGAAUACCGAAAGCGAAGGCGAUCUCCUGGAACAUAACUGACGCUAAGGCGUGAAAGCGUGGGGAGCAAACAGGAUUAGAUACCCUAGUAGUCC